UAGUCCAGUGAUGAGACUGGAGGGUGUCUGAAUCAGAAACUUUGAUUAUCUCAUUGUCACUCUGAGGUCCUU
This is a small nucleolar RNA of Erinaceus europaeus (western European hedgehog), 72 nucleotides long. Lineage: Eukaryota; Metazoa; Chordata; Mammalia; Eulipotyphla; Erinaceidae. The record is from Ensembl.